ACGAAGUGAAUCCGCAGCAUACGCUCCCAACCCAUCGGCGGACGACCGUUGCCGUGUUUCGGGUAAUAGGGUUCGAUUACCGCACACAGUUCGGUCCACGGAACGAUCGUGUUCAUCGUGUCAAGCAACUCGUCGCGUCGCGUGCGCUUGCGGCAAGUCUCGAACCCCGCACCUUGAUCCGCGGCCAUCGCCAGCGUCUGCUGCUUCAUCGUCGUUUGCCUUUCUCCUUGCACGUGCGCUCUAUAACACCUAACAAGCACAAGCGGUGGACUUAAUCAGCAUUGCCUUAAGUGGCCUGUCUCCUCGUGCACCUGCGCCCUUUGCGCACAAUGCGCGGAAAUGUUUUGCUUGUGAGCGCGAUAACCGGUGAAUACGUAAAGUAGAAACCAAGCUUAACACUGCAAUUUAUCGAUGCGUGGACGUUGGCCGAUUAAGCCGAUAUAGCGCAGAGUUAUACGUAAUUACCCGAAGUUAAUCGUAGCGGUUUGUUAUCCGGUCGAAGCACAUAGCACAAUUGAUGCCCAACAAAGCCAACCCAUGCCCAUGAAAAUCGCCAUUCUCGACGACUACCAGGACGCCGUUCGGAAACUGGAUUGCUUCCAUCUGCUCGACGAUCAGGAGGUGAGAAGAUAUUCAAUAACACGGUGCGCGGGCUGGACAGUUGGCUAGCAGACUGUCGGAAGUGGACGCGCUCGUGCUGAUCCGCGAACGCACGCGCAUCAGUUCGCAACUGCUCGACAAGCUGCCGAAGCUGCGCAUGAUCAAGACGGGCCGCGCGGGUGGCGGCCAUAUCGACAUCGAUGCCUGUACGGAAGGGGUAUCGCCGUACUCGAAGGCACCGGAUCGCCGUUCGUGCCGGCGGAACUCACGUGGGCGCUCAUCAUUGCGGCGCAGCGUCGCAUUACGCAAUACGUGGCGAAUCUCAAGCAGGGCGCAUGGCAGCAGUCGGGACUGAAGACCUCCGCAUUGCCACCGAACUUCGGGCUGGGACAAGUGCUGCGCGGGCAGACGCUCGGCAUCUGGGGCUACGGCAAGAUCGGUCAACUGGUCGUGGGAUACGGCAAAGCGUUCGGCAUGAACGUGCUCGUGUAUGGGCGCGAGCAUUCGCAACAGGCCGCGCGUGAAGACGGCUUCACUGUCGUUAAAAAUCGCUAGGCGUUGUUCGAAUAGAGCGAUGUGCUCAGCGUGCACUUGCGCCUGACCGACGAGACACGUGCCAUCGUGAAACAGGACGAUCUGAUGCGGAUGAAGCCCACCGCGAGUUCGUCAACACGAGCCGCAUGGAGUUGAUGGAGGACAACGCGCUGCACCACAACCGGCCGGGGAUGGUUGCCAUCGACGUGUACGAGAGCGAGUCGAUUCCGCAAGGCUAUGGCCUGUUGCACAUGGAGAACGUGAUCUGCACGCCGCACAUCGGCUAUGUGGAACGCGAGAGCUACGAGCUUUAUUCCAGCGCGGCGUUCAACAACAUUCUCGCCUUCGACGCGGACGAUACCUCGAGCGUCUUCAACAAGGACGCGCUUCAGCACGUGCGGCGCCGCUGAGCUUUGUCGCGAUGAUCAGACCGUCAAGAUAUCGAUCGACGGUUCGCAGCGUACCGGGAAAUUCACCGACUUCGCGAUGAAGCAGAAGCGAUGCGCCUCUUCAUGAAGGUGCUUCGCAGUUCCAUAUCGCCGCCCGCGCCGAUGCUCACGCGCGGCCGUAACAGCACAUCGACGAAGUGGCCAUCGCCCUUCGCUUCUUCCUGCAUGGUGCCGAUGGUGUCGUCGAUAUACCCGUCACCACGAUCCCGUUCGUCGCGCACAGGUGCAGAUACCACAGCAUGUGACACGACGACAGCGACGCGACGAACAGUUCCUCGGGAUUGUGACGCGCGGCAUCGCCGUGAAACGCGGGAUCGCUCGAUGCCUCGAUCGACUGGCACGUUGUCGACCAUGCCGCCAUCGAGGACGGGACGGCCGUUGCGUCGCAGGAUCGGCGUGAAGGGUGAAGUGGCCGACGAUUCAGGAUAAGAUCGGCCAAAUCCUCGAUACGCGCGCACUCCUGCGUCCGCACGAAUUCCGGAUGAAAACCGAGCGUCUGCCCGAGUGUCGGAUACAGCUUCUUGCGCACGUACUUUUCGAUGUUGUACGCGACGAUGCCGGCCGCCACGGCACUGCGCGCGCCGAGCCAGCGCGGCAGAUGCGACAGGCCGAUGCGAAUCUCCGGCGCCGUUUGCAGCGCCGCGAAGCGCUCGGCGAAGAUAUCGAGCAGCGCCUGCCGGUAAAUGCGGUAAUGCGGAAACACCGAUUGUCCGCGCAGCAGAUUGCCCCAAUAGGCGUUCUUCGUGUUGUCGCGCAGGACGUGGGCGUAGUAAUCCAUCACCCAGAUCCAUCACCCAGCGCGAUUUGUUAGUAGUAUAGAGUAUGCAGGCCGUGGCCGCCGGAAAUGGCCCGCGAUGAUGCGCAGCCUGAGAUUCAGUUCGGGCUGGACGAUGUCCCAGAAGCGGCGAUUGCCGCCGCCGGUGAAUACGACUUGGUCGAACAUUUACUUGUUGAUAAGCGCGUAAGUGGGGUGUGAGCGGCGAGCUCGUUCUGCGCGUCGCGCAGUUCGAUAUCGCCGAAGACGAGAUUGCGGCCGCGUCGCUGCACGCGCGCCGUGACGAGCACGUCGCCGGAUUCGACCGGGCGCAUGAAGGUGGUGUUCUCAGCGAGACGGUGGUCAUCGGGACGAAGCCGCCGAGCACGUGAGAGAUGGCGACGACCAUCGCGGUAUCGGCGGCCGCCAUCAAAACCUGUCCGCAAAUGACACCGCCCGCGUGACGCAGAUGCUCCGAGUAUGGGAGGCGGAGCGUCACGGCGUCGUCGUCGAUGGCCUCGGUGCGAGUUGCAGUUCGCGCACCCAUGGGGCGAGGAUGUCGUCGAGCAGGGCGCGGAUGGCUUGGUGGUCCAUUUUUCUGGUCUUUGGUUCAUGGCUGGAGUGGAAUGUACCACCAUGAUAGCGAGCCCGCGGUGGGUUUUCGUCUGCGCUCUUCCCGCUCGUCGCGCAAAAUCUCAAAAUUUAUGCCGAAAGUUCUUGCGCGUUUCGAAAAUGUCCCGCUAAAAUUUCCAAAAUUGUUUUGGGCGUUUUUCUAGUUUCUUGUUGGGGCGGUAGUUCUCUUUGUUG
Molecule: transfer RNA, 3144 nt
Filed under: Candidatus Paraburkholderia calva
Lineage: Bacteria; Pseudomonadati; Pseudomonadota; Betaproteobacteria; Burkholderiales; Burkholderiaceae
Description: tRNA-OTHER
Source: RNAcentral